GACGAACGCUGGCGGCGUGCUUAACACAUGCAAGUCGAACGGAAAGGCCCUGCUUUUGUGGGGUGCUCGAGUGGCGAACGGGUGAGUAACACGUGAGUAACCUGCCCUUGACUUUGGGAUAACUUCAGGAAACUGGGGCUAAUACCGGAUAGGAGCUCCUGCUGCAUGGUGGGGGUUGGAAAGUUUCGGCGGUUGGGGAUGGACUCGCGGCUUAUCAGCUUGUUGGUGGGGUAGUGGCUUACCAAGGCUUUGACGGGUAGCCGGCCUGAGAGGGUGACCGGCCAAAUUGGGACUGAGAUGCGGCCCAGACUCCUACGGGAGGCAGCAGUGGGGAAUAGUGCACAAUGGGCGGAAGGCUGAUGCAGCAACGCCGCGUGCGGGAUGACGGGCUUCGGGUUGUAUACCGCUUUCGCCUGUGACGAAGCGUGAGUGACGGUAAUGGGUAAAGAAGCACCGGCUAACUACGUG
Molecule: ribosomal RNA, 468 nt
Filed under: uncultured bacterium
Lineage: Bacteria
Description: partial 16S ribosomal RNA
Rfam family: Bacterial small subunit ribosomal RNA
Source: RNAcentral